Molecule: long non-coding RNA, 2527 nt
Organism: Pleuronectes platessa (European plaice)
Lineage: Eukaryota; Metazoa; Chordata; Actinopteri; Pleuronectiformes; Pleuronectidae
Exons: 3
Source: RefSeq, a predicted model, not a curated record
ACCGCUGCAUAUACUACAGACCAUAGAAGAGCGUGUGUUCGUGUGUGUGUUUGUGUGCGUGUUUGUGUGUGCGUGUUUCAGUCAGAGAAAAGCGCUCAAAGCGGCGCACAAACUCACCUGGACGCACGCACGCGUGUGCGUAAAUGUGUUUGUGUCCUUAAAGCGCGUGCGCAUAAAGGCAAUGUUGAAGAGACAGGGAGAGAAAGAGAGAGAGAAGAUGCACGUGUUUAACAGUGAAGGAGCGCGGCUGCAGCGAACAGGACAGACAGGUCGAACAAGCAACAGCAAUGUAGGCACAGGCUAUAACCUGGGUGGUUUCACAUAUGCUUUACAUGCACCGUGUGGUCUGCGGUGCACUCAGGAAUUGGGGGAGGUCUGCAGAAGUGAAUGUGGAGCCACAGGCCGCACUCAGGACAAACUGACUGAAUGACUUGUUUCCGUCUGUGAAAGAAAACCUUGAUGUACAGAGACGAUGAAGAGACGUCUGCACGGGCAUUUGGACAUUAAAAUACAUUUUGAUAACAUUUAGCGAGAGGUUUCAAGUAAGUGAAUAAAACACUGAAACCCAAAGAUUUUAUGAAUCUGUUGGGAAAAAAGCCUGUCUGCAGUUUUCUGUUUGGUAUAAGUUAUAACUUGGUUUUGAAACGCAGGCAGUAAAAAAGGUAAUAAGACACAUCUCACUGUGUAAUUAUAAUUUGUUCUGGUAAUAAAAAGUACGCAACAAGCGCCAUGGUUCAUUACUGAACACUAGAGUAUUACAAACCUGCUAUAAGAACAUGUGAAAUCCAACCAACUCUGAUCUUAUUAUGGGAAGAAAAGAACAUGUGACCAUGUGAUUAUUAGUCAAACAUGACGCAAUAUUCUGAAGUUGAUUUUCUGAAGUUUCGAAUAGAAAAUUCAGAAAUCUUGGCAGAGGGAGACAUAGACAUAGACACAAAAAAACACCAACAACACAAGUCUCCCAGUGUGAGUGAAACAACCUCACAGGAUUAUGGCUUUGGUAUUUAAUAGUUUUUGCAAAGUUCUAUGAAGAUCUAUCAGGUGAUAGUCAAACAAUGAGGAAGGUUUUACAAUUCAGCUACUGAAAUGUGGUUGUGAGGUUUUAGUGUCGUUAAUUUUGACAAUUUGCUAAAUAGAAAGCCAAUGAGUUAUUGUAUAUGUGGACAAGAAUAAUUUUGGAACCUCUUUGUGGGACAUGAACUCUUUAUUAAAUCGAUUUAAUUGCUUUAUAUUUUAUUUCGAGACUGGUAUGGAGGAACCUUCAUCAUCUCAGAGGUGGGCGACACAGAGCUCUUCACAUCUCAUGUUUCAUUAGAUAUCAAUACAAUUUUCCUGAUGAACUAAAAGAGGAGUGAGGAGCUAUGGUAUGAGACACAGAUCGUCUCAUUUAUUCUCACUCUGAUCUGUGAACUGAGUCACGAAUGGAGGUGGUUUUAGUUGUUUGCAGGUGCAUUUAUGAAAAACAUCAGCAUUGAAUUCAAAGGACAUUAAAAGCCUGAAAAAAAAAGAAGACUUCAAAUGAAUGGGGUGAUCACAGAACAAAGGAGGUGUCAGACAUGUUAAUUUACGCAAAUAUAUGAGUACUGGUCCUUUUAGUGGGGAAACAUGAAUAAAAAUGAUCAUAUUCAUGUUAGUAAAAACACUGAAGUCAGUAAAUAUCGUAGUGUACUCAAGGUGUCAUUUAGCCCUUUCUCAUGCUGGUUAAGUUGAGGAGAAACACUUAAGUACUUACUUUAUUAUACUUAUUAUUUACAAUUAAUAUUUACAAUUUAAUUGUUGAUAUAUUCACUGUCUUUCUCUCUAAAUUAUUUCUAAACAGAACAUUAUGUUGAAAUGGUGAACGAGAGAGAAAUCUAAAAAAUCCGUUAGUUUAAAUAAAUUAAUUCAGUUCAGUCCACUCCCCGCAAGACGGCGCUAAAGGGCUAAACAUGUCACUGAUGAAGCCGGCAUGGCUGCACAGAGCGACAUGUCAUGUUAUUAUGUCACUUGAUGCACGAGGCAUUUCAUAUGAGCCCGGCUGUAGUAUCUGAUUUACAUUAUAAGUUUGAUGUAUCGUGUUGUUUGUUGUUCACCUGGAUAGUGACUCCUCUUCAUAAUGUUGAUGUUGAACCUGAACUUAACUAUCUCUCUCUCUCUCUCUCUAUGUGUGUGUGUGUGUGUAUGUAAAGUAUAUAGUAGAACAAAAAAAUAUUAAAUUAUAUAUAUAAAUAGAAUGGAAUGUGGCAGUAAACCUCAUAGCACAUGAAUUUGCAGAAUAUGAUGCUACUAAACUAUUUUGAAAACAUUUGUUUAGUACCAGUAGUUCUUUAAAUGACAACAUUUUUACCGGACAUUGACUAUUUCUAGUGGUAGAUCACAACUCUGGGUAUUGUAGUUUAAAAUGGUAUGAGCCAAAAAGCUUAGAAUCUGAAAGGAGGGUAAAACACUUGUAUUUGCACAAUCUUUCAAGUUUCAUGCUUUAUUCUCAACCAUUUUUCUCAGGGUUAUCCUGUUCUUUCUUUCUUUCUUUAUAAACCAAUUGAUCUAG